AUUAAAAGAAAAGUUUCUAAAGGAUAUUACUUCAAGAUUUCAUAUUUGCUACAAGAUAUUCACUCGAUUAAACAAGGAGGGGGAUGCAAGGAGAGGCUUUUAAAAACGAGAAGGCCUUACGUCAAAAGGGAGUAGUGGGGUAGAAUGUGAGGCAUGUGAAUGUAGAGGAGAGUAGCUCAUGGUGAAACUGUAUAUUCUUAAUAGAGGUUUAAUGAAUGUAGAGGGAGACGAGUAGAUUACGUGAAUGAGAGAAAUAUAUGUUAAAUGAAAGUAAAUAGUGGUGUUUGGAAUAGUGAAAUAACAACUUAGGUUUUCACAUAAAGAACUAAAUCGGUGAUUGAAAGAGUAAGACUCGGUCCCGUGCACAAUGUGUUAUUAUCAUGUUCAAAUGAAAUGUGGUGUGUUGUUGAUAGUUGUUUUAUAAGUAUAAUAAAUGCAUGUAGGUUUGGGGACUUAUGUACCCAAGAAGGGUGAAGCUUUGUGUGUGUAGAUAAUUUUUUUACAUGCAGCAACAAAGAGGUGUUUCAGGUGUAGAAGUGUGAAAAGGAUGAGAGCAUAGUAUUUCAUCUAACUGUGGGGCCUCUGGUAAGUGUAUGGGUUUAGAGACUUCAAACAAAUGGAAGUGUGAAACCAUGUUUUAUUGUGUAUAAUAAAAUAUCAUUGGUGAAUGUAUUAG
Molecule: long non-coding RNA, 676 nt
Filed under: Vigna radiata
Lineage: Eukaryota; Viridiplantae; Streptophyta; Magnoliopsida; Fabales; Fabaceae
Description: long non-coding RNA (VRAD_LNC006341)
Source: RNAcentral